Non-coding RNA from Bacteroides sp. SM23_62, 108 nucleotides. Lineage: Bacteria; Pseudomonadati; Bacteroidota; Bacteroidia; Bacteroidales; Bacteroidaceae. The record is from Rfam.
GGGUUAUAGAGAAGAGGGGAGAGACCAGGCUCAGGGAACCUCUAGCAACCAUCCUCGGACAAAGUGGAAAAGGUGCUAAUACCUGGCCCGAAAAGGGAAUUAUAAUUG